UGGAAAUUAAUUGUUAAUUUACUUUUUUAGCGUACUAUGAUCUCACUUCAUUAGAAGUGUGACUUCUGUACACUUUAUACAGUACACUCUAAAAUAAGUGUAUUUUUAGUUGCAUAUCAGAGUACUUUCAUAAAAUACGUUAGAAUAAUAAAAUGUAGGCUAUACACUGCAUGAAAAGAGCUGUAUCCGGACAAAUACGGAUGGGAAAUCCCUGCUAAACCUUAGGUUUGCCAGAUAAAUGAGGCAGAGUGCUUGGAAACGUAAUACUCAGAAGUAAACUCGUGAAACAUCCAGAUAUCUUGUGUAUAUGGAUGUAUACAGGAACUGGUGGAAGUUUCUAGGAAUCCUCACAGCUGGUUGUAAGGAGUGCUGGUUGUGAGGUGUGAAGGGUUAAUGACAGAGGUGCUGUCUCUGUUUUCAAAGCUGGGUGGGGGGUUCAAGGCAGCACAUAACAUAAAAACUGGAUAAAAACAGUAUAUAUCUACAAGUGUGUUUACUAAAUACAUGUAUUAUUAUGCUAAUGUAAUUUAAUUGAUAAAGUUUUUUUUAUUUAAGAAAAUCUGAGCAUCACUCAAAAUAACUGUCAACAUGUUUGUCAACUAAACAUGUUUUGUAAACGUUAUACAUUUUAUAAAAAUAUUUUAUAUUUUUAUUAUUGAUAAAGUAUAAAGAACAAAUCAGUGUGAAAACGCAGAUUAUAAAAAGUACAUAACUGCCAGCAGAGGAUCCAAAAUAAUGAAAAAAAAACAUCCAAUGCAUCUUGGAAAUUGUAGUCAAAAUACUUCUACAGCAGCAUGCUACAGCAGUACCAACGCCAGGGCAAAAGACUCCAAUUCCCAGAAUGCACCUGCACCCACCCAUUCAUUCCCACCAAUCAGGAUCAACGGCAUUAUUUCAAACCGCUACUGACUCGUUUUCAUGCUAAACAGUACGGCUGAGAGGUCAUGUACGUUACCAUGUGGUCGACCUUGCUGACGCUGAAGAGGUUUCUGUGUAAAAAUGAUGACAUUGAGACAAACAAACCAGUUCCGGCUGCCGUGGAGGUCAACACACCACUGAUCUACUGGCUGCCCUUCAACGUGAUGCCCAGCCGAUGCCUGACCACCGACGGAACCCGUUAAAUCUCCUUAUCCGUUUACAUCCCAUCAAGCAACAUUGGCUUAACUUAGCACCCUCUUGAAUAGGAGACAUUAUUUAUUUGCUCGCUUGUAAAGUUUAUUCAUAGCCCCUGUAUUUUGCUACUUAUAUUGUCUGUCAAUUUUUCUAUGUUUCCCCUGCUUCUUUUAAUGUAAAGCUACUUUGAAACAACUACAAAUUGUGAAAAGCACUAUAUAAAUAA
This is a non-coding RNA of Misgurnus anguillicaudatus (oriental weatherfish), 1339 nucleotides long. NCBI's taxonomy places the organism in Eukaryota, Metazoa, Chordata, Actinopteri, Cypriniformes, Cobitidae. The record is from RefSeq and is a predicted model, not a curated record.